RNAcentral lists this ribosomal RNA (468 nucleotides) under uncultured bacterium. Its description in RNAcentral is "partial 16S ribosomal RNA". It matches the Rfam family "Bacterial small subunit ribosomal RNA", at positions 28 to 507 of the family's 1533-position model. The record is from RNAcentral.
GACGAACGCUGGCGGCGUGCUUAACACAUGCAAGUCGAACGGAAAGGCCCUGCUUUUGUGGGGUGCUCGAGUGGCGAACGGGUGAGUAACACGUGAGUAACCUGCCCUUGACUUUGGGAUAACUUCAGGAAACUGGGGCUAAUACCGGAUAGGAGCUCCUGCUGCAUGGUGGGGGUUGGAAAGUUUCGGCGGUUGGGGAUGGACGCGCGGCUUAUCAGCUUGUUGGUGGGGUAGUGGCUUACCAAGGCUGUGACGGGUAGCCGGCCUGAGAGGGUGAACGGCCACAUUGGGACUGAGAUACGGACCAGACUGCUACGGGAGGCAGCAGUGGGGAAUAUUGCACAAUGGGCGGAAGCCUGAUGCAGCAACGCCGCGUGCGGGAUGACGGCCUUCGGGUUGUAAACCGCUUUCGCCUGUGACGAAGCGUGAGUGACGGUAAUGGGUAAAGAAGCACCGGCUAACUACGUG